RNAcentral lists this non-coding RNA (27 nucleotides) under Bombyx mori (domestic silkworm). The record is from RNAcentral. Lineage: Eukaryota; Metazoa; Arthropoda; Insecta; Lepidoptera; Bombycidae.
UAUUAUCAAUGGUACGCGUAAAUCGGC